Molecule: transfer RNA, 35 nt
Filed under: Coccyzus erythropthalmus (black-billed cuckoo)
Lineage: Eukaryota; Metazoa; Chordata; Aves; Cuculiformes; Coccyzidae
Description: partial tRNA-Phe
Source: RNAcentral
GAUGCCAAGAUGGUUAGCUUCACUACCCAGGGACA